UGGAAGUAAGGCAGCCCCACUUUCUUCCCAUACAGAGACUCAGUUUCUCCUUUGCCUGAAGAGAAUGACAAGGCCUCCCUCAUGGUGCUUCUGGGAGGAGAGGAGCCUGCCAAGACCAUUAGCAUCAGAGCUCUCAGCCUGGAGAGGAGAAUGAGCAGGAGGUGGGGCAGGAGAUCCAUGAACAUGUCUGGGGAGCCGUGGACCCUGAUGAAGCAGGCACACGGGAUUCCAAAGAUGCAGUCAGACUCCUUAAGUGACUGAGGACCCACGGCCACAGAUGCCCUUCGAGGGCAGCCCCCAGCACAGGGCAGCUCCAGGCACCAGGUCUCCUUCAGCAUCAGCCCGGGGAUCCGCCAUUCUCCUGGGUGAUGGCAGAGAGAAUCAAGCGUCUUCACUGUACAGAGGGGGCGACUGAGGCCCCGAGGGAAGGAAGGGCCGGAAUGGCCUACCUGAGGUCAGGCACACACAGUGUACUUACGGGAGGGCCGUGUGUCUCUAAGCCCGCCUAACGCUAAUGAUCAAGACACGUGUUAGCAUGGGUCAGGCCCUCAAGCCCUCAGACACGUUAACCCCGUCCUUCCUUUGGUCCCUCCUGCUGCCUGCCUUUCCCCUUCGCAUCUUUUCUUCCCACUCAGUUCCUGAAUCAGAUUCCAGGGGCUAAUGUUCCAGUUACCUAGUUCUGUGUAAUAAACCACCCCAAAAAGUUAGUGGCUCAAAUCAACAAUGGUCACUUCAUUGGCUCACCAAUCUGCAGGAAAGGCAAGG
This 765-nucleotide long non-coding RNA is filed under the name Mustela putorius furo (domestic ferret). Its description in RNAcentral is "lncRNA (ENSMPUG00000031581.1)". The record is from RNAcentral. Lineage: Eukaryota; Metazoa; Chordata; Mammalia; Carnivora; Mustelidae.